Molecule: long non-coding RNA, 911 nt
Organism: Prinia subflava (tawny-flanked prinia)
Lineage: Eukaryota; Metazoa; Chordata; Aves; Passeriformes; Cisticolidae
Exons: 3
Source: RefSeq, a predicted model, not a curated record
CUUUGCUAAACUGAGCAGGAGAAAAGGAGCUCCCAUUGCCCUGCUGGGAAGCCUUGAGGAGGAACUCUGCCACCAGUUAUGGAAUUAUGGCUUCCAGAGACGCUGGCCAGGAGAAGAUUGCACAAGAGAGCUUGUAGACAUCACUGGGAUCAAGGACACUUUCUUCAGAAAGAUGAGUACCUGUCACUUGCUUCUUAUGGAAAGAAAAAAUGAUGAUUGCAGACUUGCACCUUGCAGUGGAAGCUUAGUUUGCUGAGGUCUUCAGGGGUCGAAGGUCUUGGAGUUCCUAUUCACACAUAAAACCAAAUUAAAAAAACCCUUUAUCUCCACAUAUGUCCUUGUGCAGCAAGGUUCUGCUGUGCCUAGGAGCUGAGUUUCCUGACCUAACAGGGGCAACCAAGCCUUUAAGAACUUGAUUGUGCAAAAUACUGGUUGUCCUGAGCUUGUAGGGAAGAGAGCAAGUUGUAGAUGCUCAGUAUUUAACAGGGUGAAUUCCAACUACACAUGUGGUUGUCUUUUCCUUUCCCCAGUAGUUUUAAAGGGUUUCUAUCUCAGUAUCUCAUAAAUACAUUAUUAAUAAAUCACAGUCUUUACACUGAAUUCUCCUGAAUUGCUGUGGAGAACACAAUGUUCUGAUUUUUUGCUGCUGCCCAGAGGAGGGCCCAGAGCCAUCCCACCCUGUGGCACUGACACCUCCUCACAGAGGAUGAGAAAACAGAGGUGGGAAUACAGGCUCCUGCAGCUCUGUCCAAAGCAAGGGGGAGGGAGGGAAAGGAGCAUCCAGCAGCACUAACCUGAGAUGUGCAGUGAUUGCUUGCUGGACGUUUCAUUCUUAACUUGACAAUAAAGUGGUCCUGAAGUUACUUAGGCUUGGCUGAAUUGUGAAUGAGCUUGUUGACGUGAAGUUGAGA